Molecule: ribosomal RNA, 491 nt
Filed under: uncultured bacterium
Lineage: Bacteria
Description: partial 16S ribosomal RNA
Rfam family: Bacterial small subunit ribosomal RNA
Source: RNAcentral
AGUGAACGCUGGCGGUAGGCCUAACACAUGCAAGUCGAACGGCAGCACAGUAAGAGCUUGCUCUUACGGGUGGCGAGUGGCGGACGGGGAGGAAUACAUCGGAAUCUACUUUUUCGUGGGGGAUAACGUAGGGAAACUUACGCUAAUACCGCAUACGACCUACGGGUGAAAGCAGGGGAUCUUCGGACCUUGCGCGAUUGAAUGAGCCGAUGUCGGAUUAGCUAGUUGGCGGGGUAAAGGCCCACCAAGGCGACGAUCCGUAGCUGGUCUGAGAGGAUGAUCAGCCACACUGGAACUGAGACACGGUCCAGACUCCUACGGGAGGCAGCAGUGGGGAAUAUUGGACAAUGGGCGCAAGCCUGAUCCGGCCAUACCGCGUGGGUGAAGAAGGCCUUCGGGUUGUAAAGCCCUUUUGUUGGGAAAGAAGAGCAGCAGGUUAAUACCCCGCUGUUCUGACGGUACCCAAAGAAUAAGCACCGGCUAACUUCGUG